UACGUAGGGCGCAAGCGUUGUCCGGAAUUAUUGGGCGUAAAGAGCUCGUAGGCGGUCUGUCGCGUCCGUUGUGAAAACUCGAGGCUCAACCUCGGGCUUGCAGUGGAUACGGGGCAGACUAGAGUGCGGUAGGGGAGACUGGAAUUCCUGGUGUAGCGGUGGAAUGCGCAGAUAUCAGGAGGAACACCGAUGGCGAAGGCAGGUCUCUGGGCAUUAACUGACGCUGAGGAGCGAAAAGCAUGGGGGAGCGAACAGG
This 256-nucleotide ribosomal RNA is filed under the name uncultured bacterium. RNAcentral's name for it is "partial 16S ribosomal RNA". It matches the Rfam family "Bacterial small subunit ribosomal RNA", at positions 524 to 776 of the family's 1533-position model. The record is from RNAcentral.